GUCUACGGCCAUGCCACCCUGAACAAGCCCGAUCCCGUCUGACCUCGGAAGCUAAGCAGGGUCGGGCUGGUUAGUACUUGGAUGGGAGACCACCUAGGAAGACCAGGUGCUGUAGGUG
RNAcentral lists this ribosomal RNA (118 nucleotides) under Pteropus alecto (black flying fox). The record is from RNAcentral. Lineage: Eukaryota; Metazoa; Chordata; Mammalia; Chiroptera; Pteropodidae.